AGUGAACGCUGGCGGUAGGCCUAACACAUGCAAGUCGAACGGCAGCACAGUAAGAGCUUGCUCUUACGGGUGGCGAGUGGCGGACGGGUGAGGAAUACAUCGGAAUCUACUUUUUCGUGGGGGAUAACGUAGGGAAACUUACGCUAAUACCGCAUACGACCUACGGGUGAAAGCAGGGGAUCUUCGGACCUUGCGCGAUUGAAUGGGCCGAUGUCGGAUUAGCUAGUUGGCGGGGUAAAGGCCCACCAAGGCGACGAUCCGUAGCUGGUCUGAGAGGAUGUUCAGCCACACUGGAACUGAGACACGGUCCAGACUCCUACGGGAGGCAGCAGUGGGGAAUAUUGGACAAUGGGCGCAAGCCUGAUCCAGCCAUACCGCGUGGGUGAAGAAGGCCUUCGGGUUGUAAAGCCCUUUUGUUGGGAAAGAAAAGCAGCAGGUUAAUACCCCGCUGUUCUGACGGUACCCAAAGAAUAAGCACCGGCUAACUUCGUG
This 492-nucleotide ribosomal RNA is filed under the name uncultured bacterium. Its description in RNAcentral is "partial 16S ribosomal RNA". It matches the Rfam family "Bacterial small subunit ribosomal RNA", at positions 29 to 507 of the family's 1533-position model. The record is from RNAcentral.